CUGACCUAUCAGCUUUCGACGGCAUGGUAUUGUUUUACCGGGGCAGGGACGGGUAACGUUGGAUAGGGUUCGAUUCCGGAGAGGGAGCCUGAGAAACGGCUACCACAUCUAAGGAAGGCAGCAGGCGCGCAAAUUACCCAAUUCUAACAGCAUAAGAGAGGUAGUGACAAGAAAUAACAAUACAAGGCAGUUAAAAUGCUUUGUAAUUGGAAUGAUAGAAAUUUAAACACUUUUUAAAGUAUCAAUUGGAGGGCAAGUCUGGUGCCAGCAGCCGCGGUAAUUCCAGCUCCAAUAGCGUAUAUUAAAAUUGUUGCAGUUAAAAAGCUCGUAGUUGAAUUUCUGCUAAAAAUAACCGGUCUGCUUUUAAUAAAGGUGGUAUCUUGGUGUGUUUUUAGCAAUAAUGUCCUUUGAAAUGUUUUUUACUUCAUUGUAAUAAAUUAUUUUCAGGAUUUUUACUUUGAGAAAAUUAGAGUGUUUCUAGCAGGCUAACGCUUUGAAUACUGCAGC
Molecule: ribosomal RNA, 507 nt
Filed under: Hepatozoon felis
Lineage: Eukaryota; Apicomplexa; Hepatozoidae
Description: bacterial SSU rRNA
Rfam family: Eukaryotic small subunit ribosomal RNA
Source: RNAcentral